UCCGUAGGCGGGCAAUUAAGUCAGAGGUGAAAUCCCACAGCUCAACCGUGGAACUGCCUUUGAUACUGAUUGUCUUGAGUUAUAGUGAAGUAGAUAGAAUGUGUAGUGUAGCGGUGAAAUGCAUAGAUAUUACACAGAAUACCGAUUGCGAAGGCAGUCUACUAACUGUAUACUGACGCUAAUGGACGAAAGCGUGGGGAGCGAACAGGAUUAGAUACCCUGGUAGUCC
Molecule: ribosomal RNA, 229 nt
Filed under: uncultured bacterium
Lineage: Bacteria
Description: partial 16S ribosomal RNA
Rfam family: Bacterial small subunit ribosomal RNA
Source: RNAcentral